CAUAUGUAUCAUAUUUGAUACGUACAGGUUUUGAGACCAAUUGCAUAACUUUAUGUUAAAAACCUUGUUGAAAACCUUAUUGUAUAAGCAUUCUGGGACUUG
This is a long non-coding RNA of Melanotaenia boesemani (Boeseman's rainbowfish), 102 nucleotides long. RefSeq lists it as uncharacterized. The transcript has 4 exons. Lineage: Eukaryota; Metazoa; Chordata; Actinopteri; Atheriniformes; Melanotaeniidae. The record is from RefSeq and is a predicted model, not a curated record.